This 7820-nucleotide long non-coding RNA is filed under the name Sus scrofa (pig). RNAcentral's name for it is "lncRNA (ENSSSCG00005035299.1)". The record is from RNAcentral. Lineage: Eukaryota; Metazoa; Chordata; Mammalia; Artiodactyla; Suidae.
CAGGUUUUGACCUUUAGGAGAGAGCCAAUUCUGGAGAACAACCUAACUUCUUUGAUUGAACAUUCACAUAAUGCAAUGGAACAUGAUAGGAGAUUAAGGUAUACUAAUGAAUUUUUAAAGCAUACGAUUUUAUAUCUUUGCAAUAUAAUUGAACUAGACAUUUGGUAAAGUUAGAACUUUUAGGUGAGCUAAAUUCAAUAAAGAUUUAUUGAUUAACAGAAGUUAUUCAGUGAAGUGGCCAAGGUUGAGCUUUUCUUGCUUUAUUAAAGCUUCAGAUUUUUUUAUGCAGUUGAUGUUCUUAUCCUGUAUGGGUCCAGCUCCAAAUGAGUUUAUUUAUUCUAAGAAUAAAUAUAUGUUAUGAGUUUUUUCUUAAGUUUGUUACUACAGUGUUAUAUGUUAAAUAAUUAAGUAGUAGAUUUUUCAUGUUAUAAAAUAGAUGGUUUAAAUCAAGUGAAAUUUGGUGCUUCAUUCUUUGAUAGAUAUAGUGGUAGAUAGAGCCUACGAAAUUUGAUAAGAUUAGUGAGAAUAUUUUAAGAGAACUUGAAAUAUUCCAAGUACUAUCCUAACCAAAACAGCAAUUUGGUUGAAACUGAAAAACGCACUUUCUAAAGCAGAAACCAGUAUCUUACUCAUAGGUACUCUGAGUAAAAUAUUUAAAUUGUUCAUAUCAAAAGUUGUAAACUCUUUAAAAAUAAACUGUAGAAUUCCAAAACUUCUAAUGACUUGUCUUUACCUCCAGAAUACUUCAUCACAGAAUCACUUUUCCAGCAUAUUUACUUUAAAAUAAAGUUUAUUUUAUAAUUUUAGUUGAAAAUUUCAGAUACUUAGCUAAUAAAAAUUUCAGCUGCUUUCUAAAUUGUAAUCUGGUGUAAUGAAAACUCAUUUAACAGUAUUACUAAGUAUUACUUGAUUAAUUUUUGAAUAGUAAAGUAUUAAUUACAUGAUAAAGUAUUAACUAAAUGUGUUUUUUAAAACUAUUUGCUAAAUAAAGUGAAUUUGACUAAAAUAUACUAUAAUUUUUUCUUUACAUUUUUUUACUAGCAUUUAUUUUAUAUACUUAAGAUAUAGGAAAUCACAAAGGUUUGUUUUCAUAAGAAAAGUGUAAUUUAGUCUUAAGAGUCAAGUGUAUUUAUCACUUUGGUCAUAGAAUUGCUUUUAUCUUUAAAUAGUGUUAAAGGAUUUUUUUUCCAGCAAAUUCUUAGAUGUGUGUUUAAGAAUGUUUGAACAUUGAGAUAUAUAUCAAAAUACUUAAAAAUCAGAUAUUUCUGUUAUUAGCUAUUAGAUAAUCUAGGAAUGUAAAUCUGUUAACAGUUAAGUAAAAUGUUAAAAUUUAAUAGAAAUCAGUUUUAUAUAAGUGAAGUUCAGAUAUUAGUGUCAUGAUACUGUAAGGCAGUUGUUUGAUACAAGCUAUAAAAAGUUUUCAUAACUUUGAUUUAAGAAUGUUACAGAAAGCAGCUUAGUUUGAAUAGGAUGAGAACAGAUACAAUUUUUUCUCUGUAAGUGAUAUUUUUCAGGUUAAAGAACAUUAAGGUGAAAAGUAAAAAAUAUGGUUUCUCAGUAUCUGGAAAAAAAAAUCUAGGUUCAUUUUGUCACUUUCAGUCCAGAUAUCUUUAGACACAGCCUUAAUGAGUCAAAGGAGGGAAGAGAUACAGCUUUUGAAUUUAUGUUAUAGAAAAAGACUUAAGUCCACAGAGUUGUUCCUCAUUAAGAGAGUUUAUGAUUUGUGAUCUCUGAAGUUGUCAAAAUGUUGUUUGGACACAAAUAUUUAGCAUCAUAAAAUUGUCCCUUAUAUAGCUUAUAAACUUCCAAAUUUUUAGUGAAUAAUUUAACACCUAAAAUAAUUGAUGCCGAUAUUAACAGUUUUCUUCUAUUGGUCAGCUCUUACAGAGUGAAAAACUUUAACCUAAUUAGUAGUGUAUGUUAUUUUAGAAGACAGGUUAAUAAGGGCUUUUACUGCUAUUAUGUGAUUGACUGUUCCUUAACUUACCCCAUAAAGGACAUUUUGUAAGGAUUUUGGCUGUUUUAAAUUUACAAACCUGUUUAUCUGUGUCUAACUAAGUUUUAAUAUGUAGUUCAUUAUGACAGGAUUUGGGGGAAAGCACUUACUGUGUUAUAUUUUUUUCAGUGCUAGAUUUUUAUCUUAUUUGUAUAAUAUUUAUAUUUUUGGUUAAAUGCAUUUUCAGGGUUAAAUAGCAUUCAUUUUCAGGAAAAUUCUCUGUUGUUUCCCAAAUACAGUUAUGCUGUCUGUGUUCUAGUUUUACUGAAAUAGUUAUCCUUAGGGGGAAAGAAUAUUUGGAUAAACUAGAAUAGAGGUAAUUUAACACAUCUACGUAUGAAGGGACUUGAAAUUAUUCAUUGUCACUGAUGAAUAAUGCUAGUUUAUAAAGACAACUUAUAUUUUAAACAGUUUAUCAGCUAUAAGAGUUUUCUUUAUUAGAGGUUUUAUAGUGUUGCUGAGGAUUCAUUGAAGAGUAGAUAGAUACAGUUUCUUAAUGAAGAAGCUUUAAAUGUUUGAAGCAGUUUUGUACAUGUACUUUAUGGGUUUUUUUGAUUAGUGAAUAGAUCAUUAAUCUUUUUCAGUUUCUUCAAAUAAGACCUAACACAUCAGACUUAAAUUUUCUGAUAAGGAUUUUCAAAGGGCAAUAUUUAAUUAAUGUGAAGAUUCAAUUUUUCAUUUAAUGUCAUUUUGAAGUAAAAUAUCAGUUCUCAGCACCACAAACCCCCACUUUUGUUAUUUCAUUAACAUAUAUGAUUUGGCUUAGUUUUACUUUCCUAUUUUCAUGGUUUGAGUCACUUGGAAGAGAAACAUGUAGCAUGUUUCAGAUGUAGUUGCUGAGGCUCAUCCUCUGGUUAAUAGUUUAUUUGUUACUGUUUCUAAGUUUCUUAAUUUUUUUUAAAUCCUUUUUUGAUUUUGCUCUUACUCUUUUAUUGUAUAACUUUCAUAGUAAACAAAUAUAUUUAGUAAUAUUGUUAUCCUGUGUUCUUCAGAAUUGUCUUUUUAAUUUUUAUUAUAACAUUGUUGGUUCAUUAUUGAGCUAUUGCUGAGUAGAAAACGGUUUUUCAAUUUUGAUAAAAAUUAAAGAUUGGGGGUUUUUAGCAAAAUAUCUGAAUUUUAUUUAUUUAAUAUUAUUGUAUUUUAUACUUUUAUUUAAUUUCAAACCUAACCUUCUUGACUAGCUGUUAUUUAAACUUAGCCACCAGUUCUAGCAUUUAAAAAAGUAAUUUACAGAUGUCCUAAUUUUUCUGACUUAUAAAUUAUUUUUCAGAAUCAAAAAUUGCUUAAGGUGUUUAAGAAUAUCUUUUAAAUUUAAAGUUAUAAGUCCAUAGAUGAAAUUACCUUUAAGUUUAAAGAUAAUUUGAUGAACAAAUACUUACAUUUCUGUUAGUGGUCAAUUGAUAUUAGGUACUUACUAAGUUUUUAGCUUUGUGUUACACAUUCAAAGUAGGUAAAUUACUUGUGGAAAUUUUUUUUAAUAAUUGAAAUUUUUGUAAAAGCUUUAUGGGCUAAAAUCGUAUUUAUUUGCUAAUAAUGUCUGAUGUCAAACUUGUGAUGUGAUUAGAUAUGUUGAAGCUGGGAGACUGGAGCUUUUUAUAAGCAUAAUAUAGUUUUGUUGCUUGAUUAAAGUUUAGAUACUUAGAUAUUUUCCAGUAUAGCUAGGGAACAUACUUUUUAUGAAUUCACCCUAAACCUGGUUAAAAUUCUUCUGAGAAUUUUGAUAAUUGAACAGUUAAAUCUAAACUAGGAGCUGAAGUGUGUCAUUACAUGUGUCAUUAAUUAUUUAACUUAGAUACAUUAUAGGUUCCCUUUCUAAUCAAAACACCAAUUUUGUCUUUUCUUCUCUCUCCACCUCACUUUUUAAAGAAAAAAAUCCUUAAAUAAUUUUAUCAUGUAGUGAUACAAGCAGAACUUCUGGGUAGGGAGGUUGAACUCAACCACUUUUUUCCUUUGUGUGUUAGUUGCAUGUGAUUUUCUCAGCUUGCUGCUUCAGUAGCAGCAACAGUGAAUAAACAAGUAUCAUCAGAGCCCUUGUUCUUGCUUCUUACUUUUGGGAACAGGGGUUGGGAGAUUGCUGCUGCUUGUCAGCUGUUGUUCAAAAUAGCAUCAAUAUGCUGUAGUGGUGGCCAAAGCAGCCUGCACCCACUAGCUUUUAUAGACCAGGUGGAAAUGGCCCAACUGUCAGUGUAAUACAUAUAUAGUAUAAUGAAUACGUUCUUUGACAAAAAGGUAUUUUCGUCCCAAAGCAGCUAAAAGAGAACAGUAGAUACUUUUAAUUCUUAGUUUCUUAUUAUUUUUUACUAUUUACUGUGUGGUUUUUAGUUCAUUUAAUUUUUAUAUAGUUAAUUCCAUGUUUGAAUGGAAAACUAUCUUGCUUCCAAAAGUAUAUAUAUGUUUCAUGCUUUUUACUUUUAAGCUGGUAGGCUGAAAUAAAUUAUUCCCAAAGCAGCUAAAAGAGAACAAAAAGCUGACUGUGGCCACAUAGGCGUGUUUCUUUCACUUUGGGAUCAUAUUCUAAAUUCGUGUUAUCUUUAUUUUAUAGCUCAGUUUAAAAGGCCAAAUUUUUAAUUGAUUUAACUGUAACUAAAAAGAACAAAAAUCUAUUACUACCUGAUGUUGUAUAUAAUUAAAGACAAAGCAGGCUGUAGAUGGAAAUUCAUAAAUCUUUUUCUCACUAUUAAAAUAAUGUCUUCUAUCUGAACUUUAUAUCUGGGAAGUUCAGGUUAUUCUAAAUCUUUUGAAAUAGGACUGUAAUUUACAAUAGCAUGGAGUGUUUUGAUUUUUAAGAAUUUGAAUCUGUAUAGAUUUACAUAACCUAAAUAUCUGUGUAUUUUUCUCCUCUUUUGUAUCUAAAUUCCAAUAGGUUGUAGUUAGGGGGAAGUGAAUAUUGGAUUUCUGUUAAAGUUGUGAUUUCAUUUUUAGAAUUUUUGGUGGAAAACCGCAAAUGACAUUUUUAGUGUGUAAUCCUAAUGCCCCAAUUUAGAGUUCAACAUUUGCAAUAGUAUUCUUUUAAACAGAGGUAACAAUGGGGUGUUUUUUGGUUUGUUUUGGGAUUUUUCCUAAUACUAGAGUAUUAACAUCUUUAAUAUGUUGAUAUAAUUUAACAGAUACCAUUAAUUACUGAUACCUACUCUUAAAACAGUGAGUUACAUAAUGCUUUAUAUUGAAAACACCUUAUUUUUACUACUAAUUACUGUGUAAAGCACCUGUGGAUCACCUGUACCAGAAUAACCUAGAAUAAAGCAUUUUUCCAGACCUGAUGAAUCAGAAUCUCUGGGGAUGGACUUAAGUAUUUAUGUUUAUAACAAGUGAGUUUUUCCUAGAAACCCCACAUGUGAGAACACUGCCCAAAAUGAAUUGGGAAAGGAUUCUUCACACCAAUAAACCAUCUACAUUUUCUGCCUUUUUUUCCCUCUUUGGUCAUCAUGGGUCUAAUCUCAGUAACUAAUUAUGAAUUUUAUCACUUCUAACAGUAAUUCUAGGAUAAGUCUUGGUAGUUCUUCAGUCAUAUAAGGAAAAUCUAUAUUAUGAGAGCUUUAUUUUAUGCAAAAGUGCCUUGGACCAAAUUUUAAGUCUAUUUGUUUAGAACAGUUAAUAUACUAUUAAACCUAUACUUGAAGCAAACAGAAGGAAUUGAUCACUUAAGAAUUUUUUAAAUUUUCGUUUAGAUGGUAGCUGUUUUUCUUAAGUAUACUUCCAAAUACAUAUUGGAGAAAAUACAGAAAGGAGAGUUUUUCAUAUGCUGCUUAUAGGAGCAUUUGGCAAUAUCCUAAAGUGGAAGAUAUACAUAGGCUCUAACCCAGCAAUCCUAUUCCUAGAUGUUCUAGAUAAACUCAGACAUUCGUGAAAAAGUCUUAUUUAUUUUUACUUCUAAUAGGAAAAAAUUAAAAGUAAUGUAAAUAUUAGGCAGUGAGAGAAUAUAAAAUUGUGACUUAGUCAUGUGAUAAAAAUGUUAUACAGUUGUAAAGUGAGAUCUGUGUGUAUCAUCAGAGAUGAACGCUUUACUUCAGCAAACAGAAGCUAGUUGCACAAGGUCAGAUAUAGGAGUUCCCUGGUGGCUCAGCAGAUUAAGGAUCUUGUGCUGUCACUACUGUGGCGUGGGUUUGAUCCCUAGCCAGGGAACUUCUCCAUGACCCUCAUGCAGGCAAAAAAUAAAAAUAAAAAAUAAAUAAAAUUAGAUACAGUAUGACAUUUACAUGAAGCUUGAAAGCAAUGAUAUAUUGUUUUUUUCACUUUUUAAAAUUGAAGUAUAGUUGAUUUACAGUGUUGUGAUAAUUUCUGCUAUACAAUAAGUCAAUUCAGUUAUGCAUGUAUACACAUCCAUUCUUUUUCAGAUUCUUUUCCAUAUAGAUUAUCACAGAGUAUUGGGUAGAGUUCCCUGUUAUAUUGCUGUUUUAAAUUCUUGAAUUUGUAUUAAUUCUUAGAAGGUGCAUUAAGAAUUAAACACCAAAUUCAAAAUUGUGAUUAUGUCUUAGGACAAAUGGGAAUGGGGUCCAGGGUAUGGUACAAAAGGAAAAUUCAGUCUUUUUUCUUUAAAAAGUAAAUAAGUAAAAGCAAAGUUAAGUAUGGCAGAAUGUUAGAAUUCAAUAUUAGCUGCAUUGGAGGGCCAAGGCUUGGAUGUAGGAAUUCAUUUCACUGUUCUCUUUAUUUUUCUGUGGAUUUGAAAUACUUAUUUUUUCAAAUAAGUUUAUUUUUUGUUUGUUUAUUUUUCCUUUUUAUGGCUUCACGGUUGGCAUAUGGAAGUUCCUGGGCCAAGAGUUGAAGUGGAGCUGCAGCUGGGGCCUACUCCACAGCCAUAGCAUCCCCAGAUCCUUAAUGCAUCAAGUGAAGCCAGGGAUCAAACUUGCGUCCUCACAGUGACAAAUUUGCGUUCUUAACCUGCUGAGCCACAUCAAGAACUUCUAUUUUUUCAAAUAAGUUUUAAGAAUGUACUGUCCCUUUUUUGGUGAAAAUAUUCUGCAAUAAGAUGUACACUUGGAAUACUCUAUUAAGAGCAUGGAUUGGGUUUAUUCUGUUCUAGUCCAUGUCUUAUAGUAGGUGCUUAACUGUUAGUUAGUAUACAAACUAUAACUUAUAAUCAUGGCCCACAGAAAUCAAACAUUCUAACCAAUUUAAGUUGCUAGGAUAUUUUUAAAUUCUUAUAUUUUUAAAGAUGAGCUGUACCAUUUCCUUCCUUUGCUUACUGGCUUUUAAUCCUUUCUACUCUUGUAAGUAAAGGAGAAGCAUGAAAAUAAUUUCUCUUUCUCCUUUUUUAUCACUACUCUUUCAUUUACUUUUUAAUUCAGGCAAUUUCACUACUGUUGUUUUGUUUUAACCAUAGAUCAUAGCACAUUAUUUUCAGAGAUUUCUUCAUGUAUUUUCAGCUCCAACUUAAGCUUUGUAUUUAUACUGUAUCACAGUAUAAUUCUUAGAAUUGGGCAAUAUAUGGAUUUUUAGAUUUCACAGUGGUAUACAUGUGUAUGUGUGUGAGAGAAAGAGAUUGGUUAAUCUUGAGGUAUGAUAUGAAUUUAUCUUAAAAUAGCUACAAUUAUAUGGUAUCCUCCAGAAGCCUCAGUGUGCUUUGACAGUGAAGUAUGAGUUUUAGUUACGCUUACAUACUUGACUUCUAAACUUCAAGAAGGUGAUGGUAACAGAAAAGUGAAUUUUAAAAGUUAAUGAUAGGAAGUUCCUGUCGUGGCUCAGUGGAAAUGAAUCUGACUAGUAUCCAUGAGGACACAGGUUCGAUCCCUUGCCUCGCUCAGUGGGUUAAGGAUCUGGCAUUGCCAUGGGUUGUGGUAUAGGUCACAGACACGACUCAGAUCUGGCAUGGCUGUGGCAUAGGCUG